Molecule: ribosomal RNA, 215 nt
Filed under: Perilampus subcarinatus
Lineage: Eukaryota; Metazoa; Arthropoda; Insecta; Hymenoptera; Perilampidae
Description: partial 28S ribosomal RNA
Rfam family: Eukaryotic large subunit ribosomal RNA
Source: RNAcentral
UUUCCCUCAGGAUAGCUGGCACUCGCUCGAACGAGUCUCAUCUGGUAAAGCGAAUGAUUAGAGGCCUUGGGGCCGAAACGACCUCAACCUAUUCUCAAACUUUAAAUGGGUGAGAUCUCUGGCUUGCUUGAACGUUGAAGCCACGAGAUAAUUAUGAUUAAUGGAUCAGAGUGCCAAGUGGGCCAAUUUUGGUAAGCAGAACUGGCGCUGUGGGA